CUUCAUGGAAAACACAACUUGAAGUCCCUCCCAAAUGAGAUAUUGGAGCUCUCCAACUCAUUUGCCCAUAGACGUGGUGGGAAGCACUCACAGCCGGACAAGACCAAGGGUUGGCCCUGGUCAUCUGGGCUAGACUGUACAGUGGGACAUCCUUCAUUUAGGAAGAUAAAGAAAGCUUUCCCAUGACCUAUAGGCAACAAUGUGAGAUGGAGUGGCAGAUGUUUCAUAUUAUAAAAGCUGGACAACUGAUGUCAACAGCCACAAAAUCUCUGCUUCAAAAUAAAUAAAGUAGGAUGCUACA
Podarcis raffonei (Aeolian wall lizard) is the source of this 301-nucleotide long non-coding RNA. RefSeq lists it as uncharacterized. The transcript is spliced from 2 exons. NCBI's taxonomy places the organism in Eukaryota, Metazoa, Chordata, Lepidosauria, Squamata, Lacertidae. The record is from RefSeq and is a predicted model, not a curated record.